GGAGUUGUAGCUCAGUGGUAGAGCACUUGCCUUGCAAGUGUGAGGCACUGGAUUCGAUCCUAGCACCA
RNAcentral lists this transfer RNA (68 nucleotides) under Ictidomys tridecemlineatus (thirteen-lined ground squirrel). Its description in RNAcentral is "Spermophilus tridecemlineatus (thirteen-lined ground squirrel) tRNA". It matches the Rfam family "tRNA". From Rfam's summary of the family: Transfer RNA (tRNA) molecules are approximately 80 nucleotides in length. Their secondary structure includes four short double-helical elements and three loops (D, anti-codon, and T loops). RNAcentral also lists the same sequence under 1 other name. Lineage: Eukaryota; Metazoa; Chordata; Mammalia; Rodentia; Sciuridae. The record is from Rfam by way of RNAcentral.